This 344-nucleotide unclassified non-coding RNA is filed under the name Bartonella sp. RNAcentral's name for it is "partial 16S-23S ribosomal RNA intergenic spacer". The stretch from base 107 to 180 matches the Rfam family "tRNA". The record is from RNAcentral. Lineage: Bacteria; Pseudomonadati; Pseudomonadota; Alphaproteobacteria; Hyphomicrobiales; Bartonellaceae.
AGCCUUCUGGCGGUCUGUUCAUUUCAAUUUUUUAAGAGUUUUUAGGAACUUUUUUGAUUUUUGAUGUCAGAUUGUGCCGGGGAAGGUUUUUCCGGUUUAUCCCGGAGGGCUUGUAGCUCAGUUGGUUAGAGCGCGCGCUUGAUAAGCGUGAGGUCGGAGGUUCAAGUCCUCCCAGGCCCACCAUAUUGUCAUUGCUUAUCCAAUGCAUCAUAGCUCGUUCAGAUAGAGUAUUCUAUCUCAGACGGUCAUAUUUGGACAGGUUUUUACAGUUUUUAAACUUUUUUUGUUUUAGGGGCCGUAGCUCAGCUGGGAGAGCACCUGCUUUGCAAGCAGGGGGUCGUCGG